GAUGAACGCUGACAGAAUGCUUAACACAUGCAAGUCAACUUGAAUUUGGGUUUUUAACUUAGGUUUGGGUGGCGGACGGGUGAGUAACGCGUAAAGAACUUGCCUCACAGCUAGGGACAACAUUUGGAAACGAAUGCUAAUACCUAAUAUUAUGAUAAUAGGGCAUCCUAUAAUUAUGAAAGCUAUAAGCGCUGUGAGAGAGCUUUGCGUCCCAUUAGCUAGUUGGAGAGGUAACGGCUCACCAAGGCGAUGAUGGGUAGCCGGCCUGAGAGGGUGAUCGGCCACAAGGGGACUGAGACACGGCCCUUACUCCUACGGGAGGCAGCAGUGGGGAAUAUUGGACAAUGGACCGAGAGUCUGGUCCAGCAAUUCUGUGUGCACGAUGAAGUUUUUCGGAAUGUAAAGUGCUUUCAGUUGGGAAGAAACAAAUGACGGUACCAACAGAAGAAGUGACGGCUAAAUACGUG
Molecule: ribosomal RNA, 467 nt
Filed under: uncultured bacterium
Lineage: Bacteria
Description: partial 16S ribosomal RNA
Rfam family: Bacterial small subunit ribosomal RNA
Source: RNAcentral